GAUGAAGAACGUAGCAAAAUGCAAUACUUGGUGUGAAUUGCAGAAUCCCGUGAACCAUCGAGUUUUUGAACGCAAGUUGCGCCCGAAGCCUUUUGGCCGAGGGCACGUCUGCCUGGGCGUCACGCAUCGCGUCGCCCCCCACAAUUCUCCGUAAAGGGAACGUGUGUUUUGGGGGCGGAUAUUGGUCUCCCGUGCUCAUGGCGUGGUUGGCCGAAAUAGGAGUCCUUUCGAUGGACGCACGAACUAGUGGUGGUCGUAAAAACCCUCGUCUUUUGUUUCGUGCUGUUGCUCGCAAGGUAAACUCUUUAAAAACCCCAAUGUGUCGUCUCUUGACGACGCUUCGACCGCGACCCCAGGUCAGGCGGGACUACCCGCUGAGUUUAAGCAUAUCAAUAAGCGGAGGA
RNAcentral lists this unclassified non-coding RNA (404 nucleotides) under soil metagenome. Its description in RNAcentral is "partial contains 5.8S ribosomal RNA, internal transcribed spacer 2, and large subunit ribosomal RNA". The stretch from base 1 to 122 matches the Rfam family "5.8S ribosomal RNA", at positions 35 to 154 of the family's 154-position model. The record is from RNAcentral.